UUGACCCCUCUCACAAAUUUCAAUGCUUAGUACAGUAUCUGGCAUAUAGUGGGUGCUAAAUACUUCUUUGUUUUAUUCAUUGUUGAUCUGAGAAUUAGUUUUGAACUAUCUAGUGUAGGCUGGGCUCUGUGCUAGACAUUGAGAAUACAACAGUGAACCAGGCAGGCAGUCAUCUGGAGGUGACAGAUAUGUAGAUGAGUAAUUACAUUCUAGCAAGAUUUUGGCAGUUCUGGGGUGGAGAGGUGGUGGGACCACAGAAGACAGAUCAGCCAGCUCUACCUGGAGGAGGAGAAUGCCUGCAGCCUUUGCAUUGAGUCUUGGUGGAGGAGGAAGGGUCCCUCACGUGGAGGAUGGAAACACGGGUGUUCCAAGCAGAGGAAACAGCAUGUGCACAGUCACGGAGGGCUGUUUGUUGUCCAAAAAGCCUUUUUCCCUAAGCUUGAAAGCUUAACUUCUCAGAAGCAGGAAGCUGCCUUUUGCCAAGAGUAAAUGGGUGAGAAGUCCAAAGGUCUUGGUUUUGAAGUAUGUGCAACGAAUGUUCAAACAGGUUCUGAACAGAGCCAAAUCUACUUUUCUAUCUCCAAGAAAUCUCGAGAGAGCCAUGGGGCGGAAGUUUCAAGGAACAACGUCUCGUCCCAAACCGCAUGAAAUUGCAUUCCAAUCAGAAGCAUGGCCAAACCCACCAGAACGCAAAACGCAGGGAUGGAAGGACACUGACGACGAUGACCUUGUGAAAUGAGAGAAUUGUCUUGAAAGGGAGCGUUGUUACGGAAGAUGCUGAUUUCGGCAUUCCCUGUCUGAAGUGCUAACUAACCUCAUUGGGUUUUUGCUCUGCACCAGGUACUGAUAUCUAUACUUUUCCUGUGUAUUCACUUACUUGAUACCUGAUGGAGGAGGUAUUUUUCAGAGGAGAAAACUGAGUCAUGGACAAAGUCAGUGACGUGCCCGAGAUCGUUCAUCUAAGAUGUUGCAGAGCUGGGACUUGAACCUAGUUUGUCUGCCUCUGGGAUCUGAGCUGGUAAACAUCACAUGGCACUUUGUGGCUCGUUUGUGACUGGUCCGUCCAUUGGUGGAAAAUGGUUAGAAGUCCUACUCUGUGCCCCUCUGUGUGCCAGUACUUGGAGAUACUUCCUCCAGAUACUUCCCCAUGAAACUUAAUCUGGUGGUGGAAGACAAACAUAAAACAAAUAAUUGAUUUGAGCUCUGAGAAGUGCCACAAAGGCAACGCACAGGUAUAAUGAUGGGGGAGGGAGGGGUGGCACUUGGUCUGGGAAGUAGGGGAAAACUGUCUCUGUAAGGGACAUUUUAUCUCAGACCGGAAGACUGUUGUUAUGGGUUCAAUUCCAUCCUCUUCUCCCCAGCAUUCAUUUGUCAAAGUCCUAGCCCCUAGACCUCAGAAUGUGACCUUAUUUGGAAAUAGUGUUGUUGCUGAUGUAAUUAGUUAAGAUGAGGUUAGAGUAGAGUAGGAUGGGCCCCUGCUAUAAUAUGACUGGUAUCUUUAUAAAAAGGGGAAAUUUAGAGACAGACACACACACACAGGGAGAAGGACAUGAGAACAGGAGGCAGAGAUGAGGCUGGUAUUUCCACAAGCCAAGGAGUGCCAAAAACUGCCAGCAAAUCACCUUCAAAAGGAGCAUGACAUCUUGAUCUUGGACUUUCACAUUCCAGAACUGUGUUUUUAUCCACUCCCAUUGUGGUACCUUGUCAUGGCAGCCCUAGCAAACGAAUGCAGAGGGGAAGGUGCCAGUCAGGUGAGGAGGGAGUGGAGAGUAGGAGAGAGGGAAAAAGAAACAAAACCCAGGAAGAAGAGCUAGCAUGUGCAAAAUCCCCAACGGAGGAAGGAGCGUGACACAUUUGGGAAGGUGGAACCAGGGAGAGGGGAGGGUGGAAGAUGAAGCAGGUGGAACCAGAUUCUGGCGUCUCUAAUACACAACGUGGCAUUUCUAUGAAGGACGAUGUGAAACCAGUGAAGGGUUUUAACCAAGGGGCAACCAUAAUUGGAUCUGAAUUUUAAUAUCAUUGUUCUGUUGCUGUGUGGAAACUGAAUUUUGGGGGUGGUAGGAAAGAAUAAAUGUAGAACAGUUUAGAACCUAUUGUGUUUGUGCCCAGGAGUUUCAGCCGAAUUCUUCAGAUUGGUUAUUCUUCCAAACAGGCCAUUUUCCUCAAGCCAUUUCCCUACUCAGUACUCAGACACAUUCAUUGUUUACAGUGUACCAGGCUCUGAAACUGUGCUAUCCAAUAUGGUAGCCACUGGCCACGUGUGGCUCAUUUAAAUUAAAAUUAAAGACCAGUUGCUCUGUCUCACUGAGACGUGCCUAUGUGCUCCCUAGCCACAUCAUUCACUGAAAGUUCUGUUAGACAGCUCUGGUCUAGGGAAACACAGAGGAACAGGGCAUCAUCCCGUCCUUGUUUUUAGAGCAGUGAAAGAACUCGAGACAACUGGAUUUCGUAGACCAGCAAGAACUUUUUUUGUUUUUAAGUAUACUUUAAGUUUU
Molecule: long non-coding RNA, 2495 nt
Filed under: Homo sapiens (human)
Lineage: Eukaryota; Metazoa; Chordata; Mammalia; Primates; Hominidae
Description: HSALNT0370717
Source: RNAcentral